CGUAUUGCAGUUAUAUAAAAUGCGGAUCCGGAUUUGAUUUUAUGAACCUGGAUGAUAUCCGGUCCGGGUCAGGGUUUAGGUGAACCCGCAUAUCCGAAACCCGGACCCGGAUAUCUUUCAUUUUAAUAUUAAAUUUUUAAUAAUUUUUAAUAUAAAUAGAAAAGAAAGGAAGGAAAUAAUAAUGCGCACAGCCGGCCCUAAUUUUGCAAUUCGCAUUCCUCUUCUCAAAUCUCACAUCCGCCAGCCGCCAACCAUAUUUCCUUUUCUCUUCAUCAAAUCAAGUCGUCGUCGUCAUCACUUCGGCCAUUUUCUCUUCUCUGUGUUCAUUAUCAUCAUCAGUUGCUGUGUUCCUCUUCUCUGCACUGCUGCGACCACCAUUCCUUCUCAAUCGUUCAAGUGUUGCAAAAUCGCCUGGAU
RNAcentral lists this long non-coding RNA (417 nucleotides) under Citrus sinensis (sweet orange). Its description in RNAcentral is "long non-coding RNA (CSIN_LNC003442)". The record is from RNAcentral. Lineage: Eukaryota; Viridiplantae; Streptophyta; Magnoliopsida; Sapindales; Rutaceae.